This is a long non-coding RNA of Candoia aspera, 634 nucleotides long. RefSeq lists it as uncharacterized. NCBI's taxonomy places the organism in Eukaryota, Metazoa, Chordata, Lepidosauria, Squamata, Candoiidae. The transcript is spliced from 3 exons. The record is from RefSeq and is a predicted model, not a curated record.
CUUGUGACAUGUUUGAUCCAAUGAACUCUCUCCCCUUUUCCAGAUGCCUCAGUCUCUCUGGUGAAACUGGACUUUCAAGUCUGUGCAGCCAGCCGCAGAGGUAGGAGUGGGACAGGUAAAGCCCCCUUCUCCCCGCCCCUCGCAUGUGGAAAGAAGACUGGCUGGCCUUUCCCUUCUGCACUCCCUCCCCCCGCGGUUUAGGGCACCGAGCAGCCAAGCAACAAAAGCUGAAGGCGCCUACAGGUAACUUUCCCAAGAGAAGCUGGAUUCUUUCACUAAAGGAUAGCAGGCGAGAGGGACGAGCCGCGAGCUGAUUGGGUGGAGCGGGCCUUCAGGUGAGCAGCCAUUGGAAGAGGCGCGCUCAGAAACCAAACCAUUUUCAUCACGGCACUCCUGUAAUCCAAAUGAUUUCAAGUGGGUUUAAAUUCUGGCGCUUCAGGAAAUAAAAAGGCUUCCCUGCUAUCUCUCACAAAAGGGGCAGGCAUGAGUCAAACUGCUUCCUAUCAGCAUUUCCUGCACCUGCAGUUUAAGUUAUAUUAUUUACAGAGCUAUGAUUCAUUUCAGAAAAGAAAACACUCAUUGCAUCUGCCACAGGAGGAUGAAACUCUGCUAAUGCAAAGGGAGGGAAAAUUUU